GCUGGGUGUGAUGGCUCACACCUGUAAUCCCAACACUUUGGGAGGUUGAGGCUGGUGGAUCACUUGAGGCCAGGAGUCCAAGACCAGCCUGGCCAACAUAGUGAAACCCUGUCUCUA
Molecule: non-coding RNA, 117 nt
Filed under: Pan paniscus (pygmy chimpanzee)
Lineage: Eukaryota; Metazoa; Chordata; Mammalia; Primates; Hominidae
Also listed under: 1 other name
Source: Rfam by way of RNAcentral